This 322-nucleotide long non-coding RNA is filed under the name Amborella trichopoda. Its description in RNAcentral is "long non-coding RNA (ATRI_LNC003848)". Lineage: Eukaryota; Viridiplantae; Streptophyta; Magnoliopsida; Amborellales; Amborellaceae. The record is from RNAcentral.
AAGUCAACAUAACCUCUCUCUCUCAUCUGAUAAUUCGAUUAGAAAUUUCUUAUAGAAACUGAAUUUGAAUCAGUUUCACCCUAAUCAAAUCUUCUGCAGUCUCCAACCCACAAUCUCUCUCAAACCGCCUAUCUCUCUCUCAUCAAAUCACCUCUCUUUCUCUCAUCAAAUCUCUCUCAAAUCACCUCUCUCUCUCUCUCUCACUCAUCAAAUCUCUCUCAACUCACCUCUCUCUCUCUCAUCAAAUCUCUCUCAAACGACCUCUCUCUCUCUCAUCAGAAAAUGAGGACGAUUUUAUUACAUUAGGAAGACUGAUUGGCAU